RNAcentral lists this ribosomal RNA (1082 nucleotides) under Tegeticula yuccasella (yucca moth). RNAcentral describes it as "SSU rRNA". It matches the Rfam family "Eukaryotic small subunit ribosomal RNA", at positions 81 to 1100 of the family's 1831-position model. Lineage: Eukaryota; Metazoa; Arthropoda; Insecta; Lepidoptera; Prodoxidae. The record is from RNAcentral.
GCGAUACCGCGAAUGGCUCAAUAUAUCAGUUUUGGUUCCUUAGAUCUUACUCAGUUACUUGGAUAACUGUGGCAAUUCUAGAGCUAAUACAUGCAAUCAGAACUCUGACCAGUGAUGGAAUGAGUGCUUUUAUUAGAUCAAAACCAAUCGACGGCGGNGUUCGCGUCCAAAGUCGUUCUUUUUGAUGAAUCUGGAUAACUUUUGCCGAUCGCACGGUCUCGUACCGGCGACGCAUCUUUCAAAUGUCUGCCUUAUCAACUUUCGAUGGUAGUUUCUGCGACUACCAUGGUUGUCACGGGUAACGGGGAAUCAGGGUUCGAUUCCGGAGAGGGAGCCUGAGAAACGGCUACCACAUCCAAGGAAGGCAGCAGGCGCGCAAAUUACCCACUCCCGGCACGGGGAGGUAGUGACGAAAAAUAACGAUACGGGACUCUUACGAGGCCUCGUAAUCGGAAUGAGUACACUUUAAAUAUUUUAACGAGGAACAAUUGGAGGGCAAGUCUGGUGCCAGCAGCCGCGGUAAUUCCAGCUCCAAUAGCGUAUACUAAAAUUGUUGCGGUUAAAAAGCUCGUAGUUGCAUUUGUGCGCCGCGCUGUCGGUGACACCGCAUCUGCGGUAUACUGACACGUUUGCGGAGCAUAUCGUCGGUGAAUCUCGGUAAAACGGAGGUUCAAUAUCAAAAAUCCUAUCUGCGUGCUCUUCAGUGAGUGUCGAGAUGGGCCGACAAUUUACUUGACAAUUUCAUUUGAACAAAUUAGAGUGMUUAAAGGCGGGCUCAAAAUGCUGCUGAUAUUUAGUGCAUGGAAUAAUAGAAUAUGAUCUCGGUUCUAUUUUGUUGGUUUUCAGAACUCCGAGGUAAUGAUUAAUAGGGAUAACUGGGGGCAUUCGUAUUGCGACGUUAGAGGUGAAAUUCUUGGAUCGUCGCAAGACGAACAUCAGCGAAAGCAUUUGCCAAAGGUGUUUUCAUCAAUCAAGAACGAAAGUUAGAGGUUCGAAGGCGAUUAGAUACCGCCCUAGUUCUAACCGUAAAUAUGUCAUCUAGCGAUCCGCCGACGUUACUACAAUGGCUCGGCGGGCAGCUU